AACGAACGCUGGCGGCAGGCUUAACACAUGCAAGUCGAACGCCCCGCAAGGGGAGUGGCAGACGGGUGAGUAACGCGUGGGAACCUACCCAGUUCUACGGAACAACUGAGGGAAACUUCAGCUAAUACCGUAUACGCCCUACGGGGAAAGAUUUAUCGGAAUUGGAUGGGCCCGCGUUGGAUUAGCUAGUUGGUGGGGUAAUGGCCUACCAAGGCGACGAUCCAUAGCUGGUCUGAGAGGAUGAUCAGCCACACUGGGACUGAGACACGGCCCAGACUCCUACGGGAGGCAGCAGUGGGGAAUAUUGGACAAUGGGCGCAAGCCUGAUCCAGCCAUGCCGCGUGAGUGAUGAAGGCCUUAGGGUUGUAAAGCUCUUUCGCCAGGGACGAUAAUGACGGUACCUGGAUAAGAAGCCCGGCUAACUUCGUG
This 429-nucleotide ribosomal RNA is filed under the name uncultured bacterium. RNAcentral describes it as "bacterial SSU rRNA". It matches the Rfam family "Bacterial small subunit ribosomal RNA", at positions 29 to 507 of the family's 1533-position model. The record is from RNAcentral.